Echinops telfairi (small Madagascar hedgehog) is the source of this 129-nucleotide small nucleolar RNA. The record is from Ensembl. Lineage: Eukaryota; Metazoa; Chordata; Mammalia; Afrosoricida; Tenrecidae.
GAUGUAAUUUCUCUGUGGUUCCAAUCCCAUGGGCCUCUCACAGUGUCCCAGGCCAAAGCAAACUGUAACCUCGGACCAUUGCCUGGCUCUACCCCGUGGGCUUCAGGCACUGAAGUGGGUUGCACAUUG